CAUGCCUGUAUUAAAGUCAUAAAUCAUUAAAGUUUAAAUAAUCUUAGAAAUUAUUUAACCCAACUGUUUCAUUUUGCAACUGAGUAACCGAGACCAAAAAGAUAGAGUUACUUUUCAACACCACAAAUCUGGUCAUUGGAAGUGCCCUUAUCUUCUGUCAGAUACACUGCUUAUUUGAACCCAUCUCUCUUGAUUUCCUGGCCAAUAAUCUUUUCUCCUGAAAGCACUGUCACCACGUAGGCCAAUCACACAAAUUCCAAGAUGGGAUACUUACUAUGAAAAUGGUUACAUUUUUAAUACCAAUCUAAUUUUGGUUCACCA
RNAcentral lists this long non-coding RNA (321 nucleotides) under Homo sapiens (human). RNAcentral's name for it is "HSALNT0147488". Lineage: Eukaryota; Metazoa; Chordata; Mammalia; Primates; Hominidae. The record is from RNAcentral.